RNAcentral lists this ribosomal RNA (261 nucleotides) under uncultured archaeon. RNAcentral describes it as "partial 16S ribosomal RNA". It matches the Rfam family "Archaeal small subunit ribosomal RNA", at positions 748 to 1009 of the family's 1478-position model. The record is from RNAcentral.
UAGCCGUAAACGAUACUCGCUAGGUGUCGGCCACGGUGCGACCGUUGUCGGUGCCGUAGGGAAGCCGUGAAGCGAGCCACCUGGGAAGUACGGCCGCAAGGCUGAAACUUAAAGGAAUUGGCGGGGGAGCACCACAACGGGUGGAGCUUGCGGUUUAAUUGGAUUCAACGCCGGAAAUCCUACCGGGACCGACAGCAACAUGAAGGCCAGGCUGAAGACUUUGCCGGAUUAGCUGAGAGGUGGUGCAUGGCGUAGUCGUGU